UUUGUAAUGAUACGUCAAUGAAGGUUAGACAUCCAGGUAAUAAGACACACCAGAUAGCAAUUUCUCAGGCAACUGGAUAUAAUUUUGGAAACGGUCAGACAUUUCAGGCAGAAUCCACUACCUUCAUCAGUGACACUGGGACACUUUUGUCAUGAUGUCUUAAAUAAUCAAGUUGGCUAUAGCCAUAGGCUUAUCACUCAAACGUAUUAAAAGUGCCAACCACAUAUGACGUCCUUCCUAAUACACAUACUUGGUCAUCUUACCUGAUAGGCAUGUCAACAUGUUGUAUUCGGCAGAUCACCUUGCAAUGGAUCAUAAGUGCUUUGAAUUUGCAUUCUCAAUAAUGUUUGGCAGUGUGAGGGUAUUAAACCCUGUGUGACUGUUGUGUGUUGUUAUAGAACUGCUGGAUGGAAGUGAGCACCUGGCCUUUCCCUGUCUGCUGGUUUGGACACUCUGUGUUGGACAAGACCUUGUACAUAUUUGGUGGCUUCAACCAUGCCAACUCCAAGUACACAGAUACAGUGCAGACCUUGGAUCUAGACAGGUGGGAAAAGUGGCAGUGGAGCAUUGUGGGAAGGCUACCCUUCAGGUGUGAUGGGAUAGCGGCGGCCAUUUUGACCUUGCCGGAACAGUUCAAACGAGAAGCGGAGGCAAGGGCCGGAACGGGGUCACAUUCAUACAGAUGACAACCAUGUUUUACAAUGGAAUUCUAUUUUGUGUAUUACUUUUAGAAAUAAAGUUCAUUGUUUCUGUGA
Long non-coding RNA from Branchiostoma floridae (Florida lancelet), 755 nucleotides. RefSeq lists it as uncharacterized. The transcript is spliced from 2 exons. Lineage: Eukaryota; Metazoa; Chordata; Leptocardii; Amphioxiformes; Branchiostomatidae. The record is from RefSeq and is a predicted model, not a curated record.